Molecule: ribosomal RNA, 130 nt
Filed under: uncultured bacterium
Lineage: Bacteria
Description: partial 16S ribosomal RNA
Rfam family: Bacterial small subunit ribosomal RNA
Source: RNAcentral
UGUGCCCAGAUGGGAUUAGCUAGUAGGUGGGGUAAAGGCUCACCUAGGCGACGAUCCCUAGCUGGUCUGAGAGGAUGACCAGCCACACUGGAACUGAGACACGGUCCAGACUCCUACGGGAGGCAGCAUG